This 925-nucleotide long non-coding RNA is filed under the name Nicotiana benthamiana. RNAcentral's name for it is "long non-coding RNA (NBEN_LNC011792)". Lineage: Eukaryota; Viridiplantae; Streptophyta; Magnoliopsida; Solanales; Solanaceae. The record is from RNAcentral.
UAAAAUAUACAUAACUUUUUCUAAAUAUGUCCAAAUUAUGAUGUCUUUAACUUUUUGAAAACUAGAUAUGAAGUUCUACAACUUUUGUUUUUAAAUCACCUCAAAAUUCCUUGUAGAUAAAAAGUUAUGAGCUAUUGAAGUAGGACCUGCGCGACAGAAAAUUCCUUCUUCGCGAACGCGAAGCACUAUCGUGAGCGCGAAGAACAAAAGUCCCAGAUGACAAUUCCUUCUUCGCGAAUGCGAAGUGCUGCCGCGAACGCUAAGAACAAAAGUCUCAGAAGCCAAUUUCUUCUUCGCAAAUGCGAUAGGACCUCACGGACGCGAAGGACAACACCAGAUACCAGCAACAACAAUCCAAAACCUUCCAAAAAUGACCUGUUGGCUAUUCGAAAUCACCCUUAGGCCCUCGGGACCUCAACCAAAAGCACAGAUAGGUCCUACUACCUUAUUCAAACUUGCUCGAACCAUAAAAAUACUAUCGUUAACAUAAAAAUCAUCAAGUUUCAUCAAAUCAAGGCUUACGUUAAAGUAAAACUUUCAAAACUCACAUUCAAUCAAAAACCCGACCUGAACUCCUCCGAAUCAACUGAAAUUUUGCACACAAGUCCAAAAUUACCUAAAGAAGUUGCUGAAACUCUCGGAAUUCCAUUCAGACUCCCGGAUCAAAAUUCCACCUAUCAACCGGAAAUCGCCAAAAUACUAACUUCGCCACCAGACCUCCAAAAUUACUUCCGGUUGCACUCCUAAGCCUUAAAUCCCCCAAAAACUAACUGAAUCAUCGAAAUUCAAUUUUGAGCCCUCUAACUCAUAGGUGACAUCCGACUAACUUUUCCAAACUAAUUCUUCCUUAAAGGGACUAAUUUUCUCAUUUCUUACCAAACUCUAUCUGAAUCACUUCAAAUUCACCAAACACAUAUACUGAAAC